RNAcentral lists this ribosomal RNA (1269 nucleotides) under metagenome. RNAcentral's name for it is "bacterial LSU rRNA". It matches the Rfam family "Bacterial large subunit ribosomal RNA", at positions 1665 to 2925 of the family's 2925-position model. The record is from RNAcentral.
CUCCGAGAUGAGUAUUCUAAGGCGCUUGAGAGAACUCAGGAGAAGGAACUCGGCAAAUUGACACCGUAACUUCGGAAGAAGGUGUGCCUUUAGUAGGUGAACCUGUACAAGGGGAGCCCAAUGAGGUUGCAAAAAAUCGGUGGCUGCGACUGUUUAAUAAAAACACAGCACUCUGCAAACACGAAAGUGGACGUAUAGGGUGUGACGCCUGCCCGGUGCUGGAAGAUUAAAUGAUGGGGUGCAAGCUCUUGAUUGAAGUCCCAGUAAACGGCGGCCGUAACAAUAACGGUCCUAAGGUAGCGAAAUUCCUUGUCGGGUAAGUUCCGACCUGCACGAAUGGCGUAGCGAUGGCCACACUGUCUCCUCCUGAGACUCAGCGAAGUUGAAAUGUUUGUGAUGAUGCAAUCUCCCCGCGGAAAGACGGAAAGACCCCAUGAACCUUUACUGUAGCUUUGUAUUGGACUUUGAACAGAUCUGUGUAGGAUAGGUGGGAGGCUUUGAAGUGUGGUCGCUAGAUCGCAAGGAGCCAACGUUGAAAUACCACCCUGGUGUGUUUGAGGUUCUAACCUAGGCCCGUAAUCCGGGUCGGGGACAGUGCAUGGUAGGCAGUUUGACUGGGGCGGUCUCCUCCCAAAGCGUAACGGAGGAGUUCGAAGGUACGCUAGGUACGGUCGGACAUCGUGCUAAUAGUGCAAUGGCAUAAGCGUGCUUAACUGCGAGACUGACAAGUCGAGCAGAUGCGAAAGCAGGACAUAGUGAUCCGGUGGUUCUGUAUGGAAGGGCCAUCGCUCAACGGAUAAAAGGUACUCUGGGGAUAACAGGCUGAUACCGCCCAAGAGUUCAUAUCGACGGCGGUGUUUGGCACCUCGAUGUCGGCCCAUCUCAUCCUGGGGCUGUAGCCGGUCCCAAGGGUAUGGCUGUUCGCCAUUUAAAGAGGUACGUGAGCUGGGUUUAAAACGUCGUGAGACAGUUUGGUCCCUAUCUUCCGUGGGCGCUGCAGAUUUGAGGAAGCCUGCUCCUAGUACGAGAGGACCGGAGUGGACACACCUCUGGUGUAUCGGUUGUCACGCCAGUGGCAUUGCCGAGUAGCUAUGUGUGGAAGAGAUAACCGCUGAAAGCAUCUAAGCGGGAAACUCGUUUCAAGAUGAGAUCUGCCGGGGCCUUGAGCCCCCUAAAGAGUCGUUCAAGACCAGGACGUUGAUAGGUCGGGUGUGGAAGCGCAGUAAUGCGUUAAGCUAACCGAUACUAAUUGCUCGUGCGGCUUGAUCA